This 465-nucleotide ribosomal RNA is filed under the name uncultured bacterium. RNAcentral's name for it is "bacterial SSU rRNA". It matches the Rfam family "Bacterial small subunit ribosomal RNA", at positions 926 to 1391 of the family's 1533-position model. The record is from RNAcentral.
CAAGCGGUGGAGCAUGUGGUUUAAUUCGAUGCAACGCGAAGAACCUUACCUGGUCUUGACAUCCACAGAAUCUUGCAGAGAUGCGAGAGUGCCUUCGGGAACUGUGAGACAGGUGCUGCAUGGCUGUCGUCAGCUCGUGUUGUGAAAUGUUGGGUUAAGUCCCGCAACGAGCGCAACCCUUAUCCUUUGUUGCCAUCGGUUAGGCCGGGAACUCAAAGGAGACUGCCGUUGAUAAAGCGGAGGAAGGUGGGGACGACGUCAAGUCAUCAUGGCCCUUACGACCAGGGCUACACACGUGCUACAAUGGCGUAUACAAAGGGAGGCGACCUCGCGAGAGCAAGCGGACCUCAUAAAGUACGUCUAAGUCCGGAUUGGAGUCUGCAACUCGACUCCAUGAAGUCGGAAUCGCUAGUAAUCGCGAAUCAGAAUGUCACGGUGAAUACGUUCCCGGGCCUUGUACACACC